UCACACUUGAAAGAGAGAGAAGAAAGAAAGAGAGAGACAGAGAGAGACAGAGAGAGAGAAAGAGGAAAGAGUGUGUGAAAACAGAAAUUUGUCAUACAUCAACUAUCACUGUCGAUCAAUAAAUCAUUCACAGAGUAGAGGAAGGAAUUUUGGAACGUGCAUUCAAAUAUUUUUCGUGUACAUUUCGAUAACAAGAUUUGUUCGGGUCGAUUGGAACAGUGGAGAAUUGGUGAUGCGGACUGCCAAGUGGAUAAAGAAUAGAGA
Long non-coding RNA from Olea europaea var. sylvestris, 264 nucleotides. RefSeq lists it as uncharacterized. The record is from RefSeq and is a predicted model, not a curated record. NCBI's taxonomy places the organism in Eukaryota, Viridiplantae, Streptophyta, Magnoliopsida, Lamiales, Oleaceae. The transcript is spliced from 2 exons.